GACGAACGCUGGCGGCGUGCUUAACACAUGCAAGUCGAACGAUGAAGCUGGAGCUUGCUCCGGUGGAUUAGUGGCGAACGGGUGAGUAACACGUGAGCAAUCUGCCCUUGACUCUGGGAUAACUGCGGGAAACUGUAGCUAAUACCGGAUACUUUCACUGGAAGGCAUCUUCUGGUGAAGAAAGAAUUUCGGUCAAGGAUGAGCUCGCGGCCUAUCAGCUUGUUGGUGAGGUAACGGCUCACCAAGGCGACGACGGGUAGCCGGCCUGAGAGGGAGACCGCCACACUGGGACUGGGACACGGCCCAGACUCCUCCGGGAGGCAGCAGUGGGGAAUAUUGCACAAUGGGCGCAAGCCUGAUGCAGCAACGCCGCGUGAGGGAUGAAGGCCUUCGGGUUGUAAACCUCUUUUAGCAGGGAAGAAGCGAAAGUGACGGUACCUGCAGAAAAAGCACCGGCUAACUACGUGCCAGCAGCCGCAGUAA
This 483-nucleotide ribosomal RNA is filed under the name uncultured bacterium. RNAcentral's name for it is "partial 16S ribosomal RNA". It matches the Rfam family "Bacterial small subunit ribosomal RNA", at positions 28 to 523 of the family's 1533-position model. The record is from RNAcentral.